Molecule: ribosomal RNA, 503 nt
Filed under: uncultured bacterium
Lineage: Bacteria
Description: bacterial SSU rRNA
Rfam family: Bacterial small subunit ribosomal RNA
Source: RNAcentral
AUGAACGCUGGCGGCGUGCCUAACACAUGCAAGUCGAACGGAGUUUAGCGCUGAUGAAGCUUCGGCAGAUUCUGUAAACUAGUGGCGGACGGGUGAGUAACGCGUGGGUAACCUGCCUCAUACAGGGGGAUAGCAGUUGGAAACGACUGAUAACACCGCAUAAGCGCACGGUGUCGCAUGACACAGUGUGAAAAUAUUUAUAGGUAUGAGAUGGACCCGCGUCUGAUUAGCUAGUUGGUGAGGUAACGGCCCACCAAGGCGACGAUCAGUAGCCGGCCUGAGAGGGCGGACGGCCACAUUGGGACUGAGACACGGCCCAAACUCCUACGGGAGGCAGCAGUGGGGGAUAUUGCACAAUGGGCGAAAGCCUGAUGCAGCGACGCCGCGUGAAGUGAAGAAGUAUUUCGGUAUGUAAAGCUCUAUCAGCAGGGAAGAGAGACCUCGUAAGAGGGGAUGACGGUACCUGAGUAAGAAGCCCCGGCUAACUACGUGCCAGCAGCUGC